UGACAACAAACCUCAAACCAGCUCGAGAUAGCUCGGAUUUAUUCUGGACAUUCGAUUUAAAUGGCAUUUCCGACAUGUACAGAUCAUACGAAGAUACAAACUUGUGGUACGCUUUCACUGCAAAAAAGCAGCAAAUCUAUUCACAAACGUAUGUUGCAGGAACCUGGUAGACAACGUACCAGAGGGAGUCCAUCUCAAUUUCUUGCGAGCCGAGCGCAGCUUGCAUCGCUGGGCUCACGAAGACAUCCAAAGAAUCGACGACGCCGAGGCUUCCGCUUCAAACGAAGGCGCUGGUGUCGAUCUUCACGUUCUUGAAGACUCGGGUCACUGGGUAAGUCUGAAAACUUUCACAAUCUCCAAACCUUUCACUCGCUCUGUUACAUACUCUGACAGG
RNAcentral lists this long non-coding RNA (394 nucleotides) under Selaginella moellendorffii. RNAcentral describes it as "long non-coding RNA (SMOE_LNC000356)". Lineage: Eukaryota; Viridiplantae; Streptophyta; Lycopodiopsida; Selaginellales; Selaginellaceae. The record is from RNAcentral.